Molecule: long non-coding RNA, 125 nt
Organism: Gopherus evgoodei (Goodes thornscrub tortoise)
Lineage: Eukaryota; Metazoa; Chordata; Testudines; Testudinidae
Exons: 2
Source: RefSeq, a predicted model, not a curated record
ACUCGACCCAAGGUUUAAGAAUCUGAAGUGCCUUCUAAAGUCUGAGAGGGAUAAGGUGUGGAGCAUUCUUUCAGAAGUCUUAAAAGAGCAACACUCUGAUGCGGAAACUACAGGACCCGAACCAC